CCAUAGCUCAGUAGGUAGAGCAUGAGACUCUUAAUCUCGGGGUCAUGGGUUUGAGCCCCACAUUGAGCGA
Molecule: non-coding RNA, 70 nt
Organism: Podarcis lilfordi (Lilford's wall lizard)
Lineage: Eukaryota; Metazoa; Chordata; Lepidosauria; Squamata; Lacertidae
Source: the annotation of a GenBank genome assembly